AGUGAACGCUGGCGGUAGGCCUAACACAUGCAAGUCGAACGGCAGCACAGUAAGAGCUUGCUCUUACUGGUGGCGAGUGGCGGACGGGUGAGGAAUACAUCGGAAUCUACUUUUUCGUGGGGGAUAACGUAGGGAAACUUACGCUAAUACCGCAUACGACCUACGGGUGAAAGCAGGGGAGCUUCGGACCUUGCGCGAUUGAAUGAGCCGAUGUCGGAUUAGCUAGUUGGCGGGGUAAAGGCCCACCAAGGCGACGAUCCGUAGCUGGUCUGAGAGGAUGAUCAGCCACACUGGAACUGAGACACGGUCCAGACUCCUACGGGAGGCAGCAGUGGGGAAUAUUGGACAAUGGGCGAAAGCCUGAUCCAGCCAUACCGCGUGGGUGAAGAAGGCCUUCGGGUUGUAAAGCCCUUUUGUUGGGAAAGAAAAGCAGCAGGUUAAUACCCCGCUGUUCUGACGGUACCCAAAGAAUAAGCACCGGCUAACUUCGUG
RNAcentral lists this ribosomal RNA (492 nucleotides) under uncultured bacterium. RNAcentral describes it as "partial 16S ribosomal RNA". It matches the Rfam family "Bacterial small subunit ribosomal RNA", at positions 29 to 507 of the family's 1533-position model. The record is from RNAcentral.